AUGGAGAAAGCCACGGCUAACUACGUGCCAGCAGCCGCGGUAAUACGUAGGUGGCAAGCGUUGUCCGGAAUUAUUGGGCGUAAAGCGCGCGCAGGCGGUCUCUUAACUCUGAUGUGAAAGCCCCCGGCUCAACCGGGGAGGGUCAUUGGAAACUGGGAGACUAGAGUACAGAAGAGGAGAGUGGAAUUCCACGUGUAGCGGUGAAAUGCGUAGAGAUGUGGAGGAACACCAGUGGCGAAGGCGACUCUCUGGUCUGUAACUGACGCUGAGGCGCGAAAGCGUGGGGAGCAAACAGGAUUAGAUACCCUGGUAGUCCACGCCGUAAACGAUGAGUGCUAGGUGUUAGGGGUUUCGACGCCCUUAGUGCCGAAGUUAACACAUUAAGCACUCCGCCUGGGGAGUACGACCGCAAGGUUGAAACUCAAAGGAAUUGACGGGGGCCCGCACAAGCAGUGGAGCAUGUGGUUUAAUUCGAAGCAACGCGAAGAACCUUACCAGGUCUUGACAUCCUUUGACCACCCUAGAGAUAGGGCUUUCCCCUUCGGGGGACAAAGUGACAGGUGGUGCAUGGUUGUCGUCAGCUCGUGUCGUGAGAUGUUGGGUUAAGUCCCGCAACGAGCGCAACCCUUGACCUUAGUUGCCAGCAUUCAGUUGGGCACUCUAAGGUGACUGCCGGUGACAAACCGGAGGAAGGUGGGGAUGACGUCAAAUCAUCAUGCCCCUUAUGACCUGGGCUACACACGUGCUACAAUGGAUGGUACAAAGGGUUGCGAAGCCGCGAGGUGAAGCCAAUCCCAGAAAGCCAUUCUCAGUUCGGAUUGCAGGCUGCAACUCGCCUGCAUGAAGCCGGAAUUGCUAGUAAUCGCGGAUCAGCAUGCCGCGGUGAAUACGUUCCCGGGCCUUGUACACACCGCCCGUCACACCACGAGAGUUUGUAACACCCGAAGUCGGUGGGGUAACCUUUUUGAACCCGCCCCCUAAAGGGGGACAGAAGAUUGGGGUGAAAUCCUAACAAGGUAAC
Molecule: ribosomal RNA, 1021 nt
Filed under: Bacillus sp. CAS 2
Lineage: Bacteria; Bacillati; Bacillota; Bacilli; Caryophanales; Bacillaceae
Description: bacterial SSU rRNA
Rfam family: Bacterial small subunit ribosomal RNA
Source: RNAcentral